Long non-coding RNA from Hirundo rustica (Barn swallow), 2870 nucleotides. RefSeq lists it as uncharacterized. The record is from RefSeq and is a predicted model, not a curated record. The transcript has 2 exons. Lineage: Eukaryota; Metazoa; Chordata; Aves; Passeriformes; Hirundinidae.
GACUGUGAAAGGAGAUGAAAUGACUGCCAAAAACUGUUCCUGUGAUAGGCUACAGAGGCAGCAUUAGUCAGUAAUUAUGGCACGAGGCUGGUACUCAAGAGACUUUUGUGUCUUAUCUGCCCAGCUCUGAGUGGUGAUAAGAGGACUCUUCAAUUUCCACAAAGUGGUACUGGGGACAAGUACUCAGCUUGCCUGGUGGGGAAUCACCAUAACUGGAUCAUCCAUACUCCUCCAACCUGAUCAGUGAUUUCCUGGGCAUAUUUGUAGGUAGAUGAGGUAGAGCCUGCUGAAUUGCUUCCUUUCAGAUAUCACAAAUGUCUUGCCAUGGAAAGGAACACGCCUUUCAGACAAGAGUUCAUGUGCAUUCAGGUGGUCACUGGACAUGUCACCAGGUACAUCUCUGCUGCACUACAGAGUGGCUAUCAACAGUGUGCUCUGUAGCCCCAUCCCUUCUGUCUGCAGGGCUGGCUGCUCAAAUCCUGAUGCACUGCACGUGGGAUUCAUCUGCCUUUAGCUUUUGACAUGGCGAAUUAAUCAUCAGAGUGCAAGCACAUCACCUCAAGCUCUCUGUGUAGCUAAUGGAGAGAAAUAGACACCUCCAGAAGGCAACUCAUCUCAUCCAUCUUAGGCAUCCUCUAUGGGAAGAUGAAAUGAACUGCCUUCUGGAGGGGCCCAUUUCUCUCCACUGAGUCAGAGGGGAGCCCAGGGUGACUUGCUUAGAUAAAGAUGAUUAACGUUUAGAUAUGUACAGUGAAGUGAAAUGAAUCUCACUUCUUUAGAGUAAUUCUGGUAGCCAUGACCUAGUGGAGAUUGAGAACCUACUGAGGCUUUUCUGCAUAUCCUCUAUAAUCUUAGCUGGGGGCAAACCUGAGCUGUUUUGCAGUUUUCUAGCAAAUAAAAGCAGUGCUGAUCAGUCAGGUUAAUCCCAGGGCAGUAAGACGAUGUUAAUCUAGGAGGGAAUAGAGAAAUGUUGUUCAAGCAGGUUCCAGAGGUGCCAUUUUGUACUGGCAGGUGGCUGCUCCCAUCUACUUGUCCAUCUUUACGUGGUGGCUGGCUGCUCAGAAACAGGUGUUUACAGAACCACUCUUGUCUAUGCUCUUGUUCAGCACCAGGGUGAUUCAAAACCGAUUUUAAGGGCUCUUGCCACUCUCUCUGAAGCACCUUGUGCUGGCUACGAUGAGAUGUUUUAAGAGAGACUCACCAGACUCACUGUAGUCCUUUUUAGUAAUUUUCUCAAAGCUGCCUCUUUCUGAGCUCUGCGUGACACCCUGUUACCUUUCUAAGGAGAUAAUUCCCUUUGAAAAAUUAUCUGUUGUGCUGUCAGUAACCAGUAAUCCGCUGCACUGCAAUUACUUCUCACAAGAAAAUUAACAAAACAGCAUCCUCAUUUUAUUCGGAUUAUUAACUUCUGCAGUUAACAGUUGAGAGAUGAUACCAAAAAUACUAGAUGUAAAUAAUGUAUCAUUUUAUGUUUGAGCUUCUCAGAAAUAUUCUCAGGUUUAUGUUUUUCAUGGGUGGUCCCUAGCCAUUAGUAGGAUCCUGAGGUACAAACAAAUGCAAUUCCUGCAGAGAAAAGCAGAGCUGCCCCUUUAAAAAAUGCUGUCCUAAUAAAUCUACUGAAAUUCAGAACUUGGCAGAAUCAUACUCCUCAGCAAGAAGGAGUCAAUUGGUCAUUAGUUUGCAGUUGUUCUCGGGUUCUUCCUUGUCUGCAUGUAGGAAGGACGAGAGAACAAGAGCAAACUAGCAGACUAGAUGAGCUGUCUACAGUACUGCAGCCUCAGACACCCUGGAGCUGUGAUGUGCUGCUUGGUGCUGUCAGUGGAGACUCUCAGUGUCAGCUCAGCAGCGAGGGCCAGUCUGGGAGCACGGCCCAGAGGUCAGAGCACCAACCCACUGACAUCCAGCAGAUAAAGUGUUAAUGGGCACAGCAGCUUCUGGCUCUGCUGUGCUGGGGCUAAGUCUGUUUGUGACUUGUUUAUUUGUACAGUGCUCAAAAUAAUCAUGUGUUCUCUUAUGUGUGUACUUUACUUGGGGUGUGUUCUUUCCAUCUCUCUCAGCAGCACUGGUAAGUGUUCAGCAAAUGUCCCUCUCACGCACUCCAUCAUUCUCCCUCAGUUAUUUGGCAGGCAUAUUUAGCAGGAUGCUGUCUUGUAGCACCUCCUCAGCCUCAGUAGCUCGUUCUUGCACAGGCAGUUCAUUUACUGCUCACAGCUUGUAUGGAAUCUGCUUUGGUUGGUGCUUCAGCGGCGUCUUAAUGUGAUUUAUCCCAACCAGUGCUGCACCAAGGCUGAUGUUCGUCACAGGCUUGGGGCUCGAUUAGAGCCAGUCUGGUUGGCACUGUGCUCUACAGCACUCAAGCUUCAACUCCACUGAAUCUCACCUUCUGAGAUGUGGUGUCUGCAAGGUGUCUGUCACAUCCUGCCUCAGCCCAGCUUCCCUGGGACAAUGGUGCUGCAGUGCCUUUUGGCCAGGCACUGUGCACUGCCUGAGGACUGCUCUUCUGUCACAAGGCUGAGGGCUCAGAUCGCCCAGAGAUGAUGUGUGAAGAUGCUGCGUGUUGACCGAAUAAGUUGUGUUCACUUCUGCUGGUUGUUUUCGAGGGUUUCCUAGGAGAGAUGGGAAGUUGGUGAACCAUUAUAUGUUUUCCUGGCAUAUGUAUUUGGAAGAAGAUGUUAAAAAAAUGUAAAUGUGGUUAAGGGGCUUCAAAACUCCCUAAAAUGUACCUCCAGUUUUGAUUCUCAAUGGUAUACUCACUAUUGGUACAAGAGUUGUUGUGGGCUCCUGUCUGGACUGGAUAAAAGACCCCAGUGUUGAUUAAACUGUGAUCAAAUACAAAACAGACUAUUCUUGACAGAGAACUACGUACUUCU